AUUGAUACAAGCAUGCAGGAAAUUCAAAUUUGACUUCUCUUCUUCUUGUUUUCUUAGGGAGGUAAACUGAGAAGAAGAUGGGGAUUAAAUCCCCUAAAAUGGACUCACUAGAGGGCUCUCAAGUCUGUAUCCCUUGGAGAAGUCACAAACUGAGACAGAUGUGCUGCUGCCUGGAAUUGUUGUGUGCAUGGUGACCUGUCUCUCAAAGAUGGAGUAGUCAGUUCCCCUGCCUCACAGAAUGAAGG
Molecule: long non-coding RNA, 245 nt
Filed under: Bos indicus x Bos taurus (hybrid cattle)
Lineage: Eukaryota; Metazoa; Chordata; Mammalia; Artiodactyla; Bovidae
Description: lncRNA (ENSBIXG00000015679.1)
Source: RNAcentral